GUUCAGGCCUCCCAGAGCUUUCCUGCCGGGCCUAGACUCAUCUCUCCCUGUGACCCACCGGUUCUAAUUGUGCUCGCAAAUUUUACAGUCCAUUCUGCAUAUAUCCAAAGCUCGGGGGGAAAAAAAAACAGCGGUGUACACCCUUGGAACCAGCCAGCCCACUUCUGGGCAACAUUUAUCUUGGGAAAGUUCAUUGCAUACCUUGACUAUUUGUUCAAACAAUCUUUGCCAUUGUCACAGCGUUGAAUACAAAAAAAUACCCCAUCCGAGGACUUCCUGGUGGUCCAGUGGCUAAGACUCUACAUUCCCGUUGCAGGGGGCCCGGAUUUGAUCCCUGGUCAGGGAACUAGAUCCCAC
Bos taurus (domestic cattle) is the source of this 357-nucleotide long non-coding RNA. The record is from Ensembl. NCBI's taxonomy places the organism in Eukaryota, Metazoa, Chordata, Mammalia, Artiodactyla, Bovidae.